Molecule: long non-coding RNA, 1566 nt
Organism: Cercocebus atys (sooty mangabey)
Lineage: Eukaryota; Metazoa; Chordata; Mammalia; Primates; Cercopithecidae
Exons: 3
Source: RefSeq, a predicted model, not a curated record
AGGAAAAGGAAAAAAGAAAUGUUUUCUUGAAUAAGGGUAUUUUUUUGAACUUUUUGGAAUCGUGUGCUUCAGGACCCUGUCAAAUAUUACUAAACAAUACGCAUCGAAACAAUUAGAAAUUUGACGUGAACCUACAACUGAUUCACAUACACAGAAACACACCGACUCAAAAGCCAAUUAAAAAGUUACAAAGGCCUGUGCUGAAAAAUAAUUUAUGUAGAUCUCACAGUAUGACAGAAUAGAUUACUUUUUUAAAUUCUCAGAACAGCUCCAUAAAGUUGAAGUUCAAACCUCCAAGUUAUGACUCAAGAAUGUUAAUCUGGCCACCAUUCUUGCUGGUUUUUAAUUAAACAAACUUUCUUCUUAACAGCUCUUUGCAAGUGACGGUCGUCAGUACAUGUGUGUGUGGGUAUGUGCAUGUAUGUUGAUAUGAUAGAACUUGCCGUUUUUAAUGUGUUUAGCAUGUUAUUAAAUAUAGCAUGAAAAGACAUGAAAGAGUUGAGGAAAGCAGGAAGAAGGGAGGGAAAGUUCAAGGAAAAAGUAAAGGGAGUUGAAGAAUUGAGGUGAAUGAAAGUCUGAAAAAGCAGAUUAGGAUUCUAAAAUAAGCUUUUAAGGUUUGCUUAAACUCUAGUUUUAAAUUUACAACAUUGUCAGUUUGAAAUAAUGCUGGUAGGAAGGAAAUACAUUGAGCCACGGACCUGGCAUCUGGAGAUACUGGAAAGGAAAGAGGGAGGGAUUGAGGUGGACGCUCACGGGUAAGGAGGAACAAAGGAGAAGCCCACUCAGGCUUGUCUAUGAACUCAUCCGUGUGGUUCUCCUGCAGGGGAGCCUCAUAAAUGCCCCGGUCAGUGCUGGACCCCAAAGAAAACCACUGCGGCCAUCUCCUGUUUCCCUCACAAGAUUUCCCUGAAAAGACAACUACUUUUGGAAUUCCAUGUGGUUUUUCAGCCUUUUCCAAAUCUCUCUAAACACCAGGAGUAUUCAAUGCUUGAGCAGAGGGACCCACACUCCAGGACCCAGCAGAGAAUGCCUGGAGAGGAACCCAGUGAUGCCGACUAGGUCUAAGCAGAGCUCCCAGCUUGAUGACGAUGCUCAACCAGAGAAAGAAUCCCAGGAGGAAAGUCCUUCUUUUCAUUACCAUGGCAAAUACUUCAGCUGCCUCUGCUUCAGAACUCGGAAUUAUGAGAACUCAUCAGCCUACGUGUAAACGCUGGAAAAACAGACAGUUGGAUUUAGCUGUGAUGAUCCCAGUGACCACAGAGGCGGCAAAGAAAGUGCAUCAUCUCACACAUCACCAGGUGGUCCUUCCUCAGCAGCAAGGGAAACGCUUUAGCGGAGGGACGGUGGCCAAGUUUAUAUUUGUCAAUGUCAUGCUGAAAGAUCUCUGGUCUGUAUAAUAAACGCUAUUUCUUCCUAACCUGUCUUGUUCUUUAUGAAACUGAUGGGUAUAUUUCAAAGUUUAUAUCCUUCCUAACAAACCAGGGACAUGGUUAUUACAUACUCCCCCUAAGAAAAUAUCUUCCCCUGAUGGGUGGGGUGGCUCACCCCUGUAAUCCUAGCACUUUG